GGAGCAGUGAUGUGGAUGAAGGGCGAGGAUAUCAAGGUGCAGAGUGCGGCGCAGCUCCUUAUAAGUGGCAGUAGAUCUAACAAGAUAUCAUCAUUUGAAUACUUUACCAAGCAGCAUGUGAGAGUUUGGUGUUUAAGAAAACAAGAUGGCCAAUGAUGGAUGGACAAGUGGCAGUGAAACAAGAACAUUUAGGCAAAGAAAAAACAGAGCCAGUCCUCAGAAGCAAAAAGAACAAGAAAAUCAGCAGACACACUUAAGAAGGAAAUGCAGACUGAAACAUUGCAUUCAUCUAUUUUCUGAAUCCCUUGCUAUUUAUUGGAGAGUUUGUAGAUGCAAUUUUCUAUUCUAACAGGAUUUGAUACAAGUCAAAAAAGGACCCUAGAUGGAAUGUAAGUCUAUGGCAGAGCACACAGAAACAGCUCACGCAACUCAACCCAGACUAGUUAAAAGACAUUAGUUAACCUAAAAUACUAAGUUUACAAAUGAUACUCUAUAUUUCAAAUCAACAUGGGCCCAGAGGUCUUUAUAUGGAACAGCAUGUACAUGAGUCUCAUGUUAUAUAUAAUCGUGGCUAUGGCUGCAACGUUUGCCAUUGCUGGGUAAUGGCACCUGAAACCUCUGAAGGUUUGCCUGAAUCAUUUUUUUCAUCAGUUUGCUUCAGUGUCUUUUCGCUUAGUCUCGUUUAUAUUUAAACAUAUGCUGUGACUCCUCAAAUUUGCAACAGCAAAGGAUCAACCUAAGCUAAAUAAUAGAGUUUAUAUUAAAAAAGGUGAAUGCAAGGAAUGGUUUGAUGAUAUCUAUUCAUAAAGAAAUGCAUUUGUGACUAUCAUACAUUUAAUAAUUCUUGAUAAUGUUCUGUACAGAGCAAGCUUUGGUCACUGUGCAUUUCUGAGUACUUACUGUAGUUUUUCUGCGUGUUUCUUUGCACUUAUAUUUUAAUAAUAAUAACAAUAAUUAUAAUAAUACAGUUUAUUUCAUUGUGCCUUUCAAGACACUCAGUGAUGUAUUACAAAAUAAAACCAUUGUGCUGACCCAA
Long non-coding RNA from Polypterus senegalus (gray bichir), 1036 nucleotides. RefSeq lists it as uncharacterized. Lineage: Eukaryota; Metazoa; Chordata; Cladistia; Polypteriformes; Polypteridae. The record is from RefSeq and is a predicted model, not a curated record. The transcript is spliced from 2 exons.